This 460-nucleotide ribosomal RNA is filed under the name uncultured bacterium. RNAcentral's name for it is "bacterial SSU rRNA". It matches the Rfam family "Bacterial small subunit ribosomal RNA", at positions 338 to 795 of the family's 1533-position model. The record is from RNAcentral.
CCUACGGGGGGCAGCAGUAAGGAAUAUUGGUCAAUGGGCGGAAGCCUGAACCAGCCAUGCCGCGUGCAGGAUGACAGCCCUAUGGGUCGUAAACUGCUUUUGUACCAGAAUAAACCUAUUUUCGUGAAAAUAGCUGAAUGUAUGGUAAGAAUAAGGAUCGGCUAACUCCGUGCCAGCAGCCGCGGUAAUACGGAGGAUCCAAGCGUUAUCCGGAUUUAUUGGGUUUAAAGGGAGCGUAGGCGGCCUGUUAAGUCAGAGGUGAAAGACGGUAGCUCAACUAUCGCAGUGCCUUUGAUACUGACGGGCUUGAAUACAGAUGAGGUAGGCGGAAUGUGACAAGUAGCGGUGAAAUGCAUAGAUAUGUCACAGAACACCGAUUGCGAAGGCAGCUUACUAAACUGUGAUUGACGCUGAGGCUCGAAAGCGUGGGGAUCAAACAGGAUUAGAUACCCCAGUAGUC